This is a long non-coding RNA of Perca flavescens (yellow perch), 379 nucleotides long. RefSeq lists it as uncharacterized. The record is from RefSeq and is a predicted model, not a curated record. The transcript has 3 exons. NCBI's taxonomy places the organism in Eukaryota, Metazoa, Chordata, Actinopteri, Perciformes, Percidae.
GGCCCUGAGCCAGAAUACAGGAAGGCCCUUGGCUGAAGGAGUCCCUGGAGGGAGCUCUUCCUCUGAGCCAGCCAAGUCACAGGACACAAGUGCCUCCAUAAGAUAUUCUGAUGGUGUUCUCACACUCGUGGACCCUCAUGUCACAGCAGAAGUCCUUGAAGCUGAGGAAACAGAUGAAGAGGACACGUUGUCUGCUGCCACAGAAAGGGAUCCAGAGAGACCUACAGAAGUAGGAUAUUACCACUAUGUUACUGAUAGUCAUCUCCACAUUCACAAUUCUUAACACUGCUGUGUGGUAUUAACAUCCAGAUUCUUUGCGUCGCAUUACGUUUUUUUGCAAACAGCAGUUUUCUUUAUAACAUUGGUGAUGCGGAUCAUA